AACGAACGCUGGCGGCAUGCCUAACACAUGCAAGUCGAACGAGACCUUCGGGUCUAGUGGCGCACGGGUGCGUAACGCGUGGGAAUCUGCCCUUUGCUUCGGAAUAACAGUUAGAAAUGACUGCUAAUACCGGAUGAUGUCUUCGGACCAAAGAUUUAUCGGCAAAGGAUGAGCCCGCGUAGGAUUAGGUAGUUGGUGGGGUAAAAGGCCUACCAAGCCGACGAUCCUUAGCUGGUCUGAGAGGACGACCAGCCACACUGGGACUGAGACACGGCCCAGACUCCUACGGGAGGCAGCAGUGGGGAAUUUUGGACAAUGGGCGCAAGCCUGAUCCAGCAAUGCCGCGUGCAGGAUGAAGGCCUUCGGUUGGUAAACUGCUUUGUACGGAACGAAACGGU
RNAcentral lists this ribosomal RNA (398 nucleotides) under uncultured bacterium. Its description in RNAcentral is "bacterial SSU rRNA". It matches the Rfam family "Bacterial small subunit ribosomal RNA", at positions 29 to 454 of the family's 1533-position model. The record is from RNAcentral.